This 253-nucleotide ribosomal RNA is filed under the name uncultured bacterium. RNAcentral's name for it is "partial 16S ribosomal RNA". It matches the Rfam family "Bacterial small subunit ribosomal RNA", at positions 524 to 776 of the family's 1533-position model. The record is from RNAcentral.
UACGGGGGGGGCAAGCGUUGCUCGGAAUUACUGGGCGUAAAGGCUCGUAGGCGGCCAACUAAGUCAGACGUGAAAUCCCUCGGCUUAACCGGGGAACUGCGUCUGAUACUGGAUGGCUAGAGGUGGGAGAGGGAUGCGGAAUUCCCAGGUGUAGCGGUGAAAUGCGUAGAUAUCUGGAGGAACACCGGUGGCGAAGGCGGCAUCCUGGACCAAUUCUGACGCUGAGGAGCGAAAGCCAGGGGGAGCAAACGGG